This 486-nucleotide ribosomal RNA is filed under the name uncultured bacterium. RNAcentral's name for it is "partial 16S ribosomal RNA". It matches the Rfam family "Bacterial small subunit ribosomal RNA", at positions 30 to 507 of the family's 1533-position model. The record is from RNAcentral.
AUUGAACGCUGGCGGCAUGCCUUACACAUGCAAGUCGAACGGCAGCACGGGUGCUUGCCCCUGGUGGCGAGUGGCGAACGGGUGAGUAAUACAUCGGAACAUGUCCUGUAGUGGGGGAUAGCCCGGCGAAAGCCGGAUUAAUACCGCAUACGAUCUACGGAUGAAAGCGGGGGACCUUCGGGCCUCGCGCUAUAGGGUUGGCCGAUAGCUGAUUAGCUAGUUGGUGGGGUAAAGGCCUACCAAGGCGACGAUCAGUAGCUGGUCUGAGAGGACGACCAGCCACACUGGGACUGAGACACGGCCCAGACUCCUACGGGAGGCAGCAGUGGGGAAUUUUGGACAAAGGGCGAAAGCCUGAUCCAGCAAUGCCGCGUGUGUGAAGAAGGCCUUCGGGUUGUAAAGCACUUUUGUCCGGAAAGAAAUCCUUGGCUCUAAUACAGUCGGGGGAUGACGGUACCGGAAGAAUAAGCACCGGCUAACUACGUG